GUCUCUCUUCCUUUAGACCAAGCACGGGUACGGAGUAGAUGGAGUUAAACACCUUUUAAGUUGACAGAACGAGGAGACAAAUGAUCAGAAGUCCAUUCACUGUUUCGCCGCUCAUGAGGGGGAGAGCCUCUGCAGCAAGUCCCGCGACCUGCUCUUGCCAGAUGCUUCGGACAGACUCUCGCCGUUCUACUGAAAACGGCUGAUUUUUAUUGAAGAUUACAGGAAUGUUACAUACGCAGUUUGCCAUGUACAUACGUCAAUGAUCAUGACAGGUGAAAAUAACAGCCUUGUUAGCGGACAGUUUAAUACAUCAAUAGAACAUACAUCCUUGAGAUUACCAGGAACAUCCUGAUAUAUUCAUGACAGGAGAAGAUACAUUCACUGGUACCGAGAGGCACUGAGUGGAGAUGGAAUGUGCACACUCCUUUCUCUUGUGCAGGAGAAGAUACACGGCUAUUAAUCUUUGUGUGAAGGCCUUGAGUAUCUGAGCGAGUUUCCAUAGCAUAGAUAAUAAAAUGAGCUUAUAAGGUAAAUAUAUAUAUAUAUUGCCUUGUUAGGCAGGAUCUAACAUGUCACAAGAACUUGUAAUUCUUAAGAUAAGCAGAAACAUCCUUGGUAACCUGGUACAAGAAGAGACUGCAAUGUCUCACUCCCUUUUGGAGUUCCUGCAGCUGUUUUAAGAGCUUGUGCAGGAGAGAAACACAGAGAGACCUUUAUAUUAUAACAUGAUCCCAUAAUGAAAAGAGUAGCAUGUAAGAAUGAAUAAUAAAAGAGCUUAUAUGAGAGUUACAUAUAUUUUCAAUCCCCCUUUUGAACUCUUUUAAGAGUUCAAUAAAGAUAUAAGAAAUCAAAACAAUAACACCAAAUUCCAUCAAAAAGAAUCCAAUAAGCAAAGUUUUAAAAUACCAAUACAUACAACCAAUCAGAUUACAUUUACUCAUCUUUCUAGCAGUAAACUAAUACAAAAAACAUGAUCAUACUUUCAACUGAACAUGUUACAACAUGUAUGGAUCGCAUGCAACUCCAUAUGAGGGCGAAAAACCCUAAUUAUCAUAUGUUUAUAGGGAAAAUUCCCCCAUGUCCCCCCAUUUGUCAUAUCUCAAUUUUGGGGCGAACGCCUGUUGGCAUAGAGUGUGCAUGCCUAGGACAUCAAUGAUCAAAAGAAAUAAAAACAACACAAUCAAAAAACUCAUAGAAAUAAACAGUUUAAGGGAUUGUUACAGAAAUCACUCAAUAUUCUCACACUCUAACAACAUCUUCUUCAUCAUGAGAGUCAUCACUUUCAUCAGAGGGUUCCCCUCCCAAAUAGAUUUUAGGAUUGGCUAGUAACAAGGGCAUCUGGAUAAUUGGGUCAGCAGGUGGAGGAGAGAUGGCAGUGGUGAUCAAUAUGUGCAUUCAGAAUUGAGUUUGGAAAUGCAAUGAGUGUAAACAUAUAUCUAAUACUAAACAGGUAAAUGAAUAAUAAUAUAAAAUGAGUAGUGGGUAUAAAAUAUAAUCCUUGUAAAAUAAAUGAGGGUGUUAAAUAGAACCCUUGUAGAAUGUUCAUAGGGUGGUUACUUCUUCCCCCUGUUGAGGUCCUUUCACUGGCUCCAGGCAGCUGCAGGGGGUGAUGAUGUCAAGAUUCUCGUCCUGCAGGAUGUGGUGGCAGCUUGGCAUGCUACUGUAGUCAGCUACUUCUCUUCCUGGUUUUUUGGAUCCUUUCUCUGGUUAGGCAGAUGUCAGCUGCUUCUCUUCCAGGUUAGGCUCCUCCCGUCCAGCCGGACAGCGUGUGACGUCCUCUCCGUGAUCCUGUAUGGCUCGGUCCACCUCGGUUCCGUCCACUUCCUUUUGGUGACUUUUAGCAGGACCCAGACGCCUGGCACCGAAGACGAAGCCUCUUCGUGUGUGUAGUUUUGGUCCAAUGAAGGCUUUCUCGGCUUGUGCAGUCCUUGAUCUCGGCAGAUAGUUGGUAGGAAGAUUCACACUCCGGCCGGACCAGAAGUUCCCCGAACCGAUCGCCUAGGGAUUAAAGGUUAUGCACAAAAAUGUCCUAGCUCUUACUGGCCCUAGCCUCUGAUACCUUCAACAUCAGACACAUACAGUUACGAACAGCAAGCGCAAUUAAAGGUACAGUGACAUCACGACAUGGACACACACAGACACACAAACACAUACACAUGCACAUACACACACAGAGAGAGGGAGAGAGUAAGAAUGUGUGUGGGAGAAAGAAAUGAGUGGGAUCCACUUUGCCACCAGCAUCUCCACCUGUGUCACAGGGAAAAAAUUACAAAGAAAUUAAAACAUAAAGCAAACAACAAUAAUUCAAUGAGUAUAAAUGAUCAAACUAAAAUAUACAACCAUGCAUGGGUUUUAUAACAGUUCCGGCAACACUGGAGAGGAAGCCUUGUAUAAUGAAUUCUUAAGAUGUCCUUCAUCAAUUAGAGGUUAUAGCCAAAUUGUUUCAGGAUCCUGAAUUUGAAUUGGUCAAUUUACUCAGAAUAGCCCAAUGGCUUUGUUGAUGUUUCUCAAGGCUCAGCCACGCCCAUAUAGAUAAAUAAACAAACAAACAAGACAAACACAGUCAAACACACGGUCCAUACACGUCUCUGUGCCCUCACACACCAAGCAAAUGUCAGACUGAAGCGAAAGUGUGAAAACACUUAACCUAACGCUAAAUCAGUGGAAAGAAAAAAACAAGACCUAAAGCGUGUAAUCAAAUUAAUCCAACAAAACUUCCCAUAACUGCCGUUCUAAACUCAUGUUGCGGUGUGAUCUCUCCAAUUAGAAAUUAGGACAACCACUUUUACUAUCAAUUCAACCAAAUAGUUUCAGGUUGUCCCUUACCUAAACUACUUGUCUUUCUUACCUUCUUUAUUUUAUUAUUUUUUUAAGAACCUCACUUAGCACAAGAAAUCCUAAGAAUUAAUUCACUACUUAAGGUUAAUUCAUAAAUAACGAAACUGCAGUUACAGGUUUGUUUGUGCAUAGUAUUGGUAAUCAGCAGUUUUUUUUUCCUUAUCUCCUCAUCUAGAAGUGUUUCUGUGCUACUCCUCCAUCUAUAACACAAGUUAGUAUCAUCCUUAAAGCAUCUGAAAUUAAGCUGCAUUGCUAAAUCAAUAACGUGAUUUGUGCUAAGAAAUACUCCCCUAUCCUCUUCCUUUUUCCAGUGGCGCUGAAUGACAGAUUUUAGAUCAAUUUAACGUUUUAUCACUAUUACGUUUCAUUUAAUUAAUUUUGCUUUUUCUCUCUUAUUUUUGUCUAUUUAUUUAUUUAUGUUAUUUACUUAUUUAUCAUGCCAUCCUGUGAUGAUAAUCUUAAAGACUUUUUAGCCAAUUGUCGUCAAAAAGGCCAUUUAAAAAUAUUAUGUUAAAGAUUUCACAAGAUUAAAAUGUGAACAUAAUUUUUAUCGAAUGAGGGGUACAAUUAUUCAAUAUUUUUGUGACAUUAUUUUCUACGUUAGAACUUACAGCUGAUAGAAAAAUAUAGGAUCAGCUAGGUUUGGCUAGAUCUGUUGGGAAACUCAACGGAGCUGAAACAACACUGUUGUCUCGGAUGAGAUGUUCCAUGAAUCAUUUAGUCAGCUGGAUGCCAAAUUAUUCAUUUAAUGUUUAUUUUUAUGCAAUGAAUGGAAUGGGAUGGAACGUUACUAUAAACUAUCCGGAAAUUUGCGCAUGUUUGCUCGAAGGAGAGAACUGUUGAAGCCUAAAGCGUUCUCCUAGACUUAUAAAUAGACACCGUUUCCUUAACCAAUGAAAAUAAGUGAUGACGCUGAUGUAUUCCGUUUUGAAAAGAAAAUAAGGCUUUACUGCAUGUCCGCUGCAGCUGAGAAUCCUAGGACAAUAAAGAUUAUAUUGACGUCCAAUGGUGAGUUGGGCUGAAAUCCAGGUUACUAAUCCUAUUAUUUAUUUAUUUAUUGAUAUUAUUAUUAUCUUUUUUUAGGCUAACUUUCUCAGUUAACUAUGUUCUACAGUAGUUUAGUAAAUUUUCCACAGUUCUGACAUUUCAUCAAUUCAACUGGUUGUUGCCAAAAAGCCUUGUUCAUUACCUGACUGCAGCAAGCACUCUUUUACUGGGUGUAACCAUAGGAAACAGUCUCUUUUGAGCCUCUCUUUGUAAGUCCAGGAUGACCACCGUCAUUGAUUAAAGUUCACAUGUUAGCACACAUGCUCCCCCUUUUGUACUUUGUUUCAUCAGCAGCAGGGCAAAUAAGUUUCUGCCUCUUUGUCCAUCUUGUAGUGCUCCCCGUCUUGAUGUUAUAAGUCACAGUUUUUGGUGAGGGCUUCCAGGUUCUCUUUGUAUAGAAGUCAGACCCAAACAUUCUUUGCAGCUGGUUGUGACAGGCCCACCCAGUAAAGUUCAUGCCCGCCACAAUGCACAGCAAACGUUUUCCUUAAAUAUGUUGAUUGAGUUGAAAUGACAGAACUUUCUCUUUUACAAAUCAAAAUCAACGAUGGUUUCUAAUAUUUAGUCGACUUUAUUGACUCAAAAAUAAAUCUGAACUACUUCCUAUGCACAAUUUGUUCUGAAUCAUCAAAUCAGUUCUACACAGGUUUUAAACAUUAAGCACAAUCUAUCCCAAAUGCAAGAUCCCUCCUUUCAUUUUUUAUUUAUCUAUUUUAUUUUGGGAAAAUAACUACCAGUUUUUAACUCAAAACAGCCUAGUACAGUUUCUAGCCAGGUUACAGGAAAUAAUACUUAGUUUAUCUGUUUUUUCAUUAUUCAGCGUCCCAAAAUCCAGCCAUUAACGUUAAUGGUUCUUAAAGUUGAGGCAAGACAAUUAUUGGAUUUUGUUUUAUAGCAAGAUUUAACAAAUAUUUUAUUUCCUUACUGAUUAUUUGUUAAUUUUAUGGUUUUCAUAAAGAUGAUCCUGAGAGGUUCAGAGCUGCUUUUCGCAGCACCCUGUGCUAUUUUUAGACUGCGGAACUCCUGUGUGUAAAAGUGGGUGGAGUCAGGUCCCCAGGCUGAAACUCCAGUCAUUCUCACUAGAUCUGUCCGAGAGGAAGGAUCUCCUGAAUACCCUAACCAGAAGCCUUAAGUCUCUCGAACUAAAUAACCGUCUAGUAAAAACAUGGACCGCACCCUGUUUCUCAAGCAGCUGCUCCCUCUAUUAAAAACUGAAUCAUUCAGAAGAUCCAGCGAAAGCAGCUCAUGCAAGAAGACACACAUUCACUCAUUCACAAGGCACAGAGACAUUCUUUGUUUGUCACAGUCUCUUUUUAUUAUUAUUAUUAUUUUUUUAAGGUAAGUCAGUUCGUCACUUAUUUAUUCUCUCUCUAUAUAUAUAUAAUAUUUUAAGCACAGAAUUUAUUUAACACUGCACUGGUUAUUUUCAGAAUUUAAUGCUUACUAUGCUUUUAAGCAGGCCUUAUGUAACAUUAGAGCAAAUCCAAUUGCAAUUUUUUUGAGAGCGCUCUGAGGAAUAGUUUAUAUAUUUAUUUUCUGCAGAUCUGUUUUGAUUUUACUGUUUAGCAGCUAUAUGACUAUAUUUCUAAAAUAAAGCUGUCAUUUACAUCCUUA
Long non-coding RNA from Nothobranchius furzeri (turquoise killifish), 5499 nucleotides. RefSeq lists it as uncharacterized. Lineage: Eukaryota; Metazoa; Chordata; Actinopteri; Cyprinodontiformes; Nothobranchiidae. The record is from RefSeq and is a predicted model, not a curated record.